CCACAGCUACCAUGACUUUGAUCCCCGUCUUCAUCUGGACACUGAUCCUCUGGACUCAAGAAUGCAGAGGUCAAGCCACAGUAACUCAGACUCCUGCAGUGAAAUCUGUUCUUCCAGGAGAAACAGUCACCAUCAACUGUAAAACUAAUCCUCAAGUGUAUCAAGACUGGGGUUAUCAACCUUUAGCUUGGUAUCAGCAGAAACCUGGAGAAGCUCCUAAACUACUGAUCAAAAAAGCAAAUGAGCUACAGUCAGGUAUUCCAGCUCGUUUCAGUGGCAGUGGAUCUGGAUCUGAUUUCACUCUGACCAUCAGUGGAGUCCAGACUGAAGAUGCAGGAGAUUACUACUGUCAGAGUUACCACAGUGGUGGUGUGUUCACACAGUGUUAUAGAGUCGUACAAAAACCUCCCUCAGUCAGAUUGUAGAGAGACUGAACUGCU
Non-coding RNA from Tachysurus vachellii, 440 nucleotides. Lineage: Eukaryota; Metazoa; Chordata; Actinopteri; Siluriformes; Bagridae. The record is from the annotation of a RefSeq genome assembly.